UACGGAGGGGACUAGCGUUGUUCGGAAUUACUGGGCGUAAAGCGCACGUAGGCGGAUUUGUUAGUUAGGGGUGAAAUCCCGAGGCUCAACCUCGGAACUGCCUUUGAUACUGCAAAUCUCGAGUCCGGAAGAGGUGAGUGGAAUUCCUAGUGUAGAGGUGAAAUUCGUAGAUAUUAGGAAGAACACCAGUGGCGAAGGCGGCUCACUGGUCCGGUACUGACGCUGAGGUGCGAAAGCGUGGGGAGCAAACAGG
RNAcentral lists this ribosomal RNA (253 nucleotides) under uncultured bacterium. Its description in RNAcentral is "partial 16S ribosomal RNA". It matches the Rfam family "Bacterial small subunit ribosomal RNA", at positions 524 to 776 of the family's 1533-position model. The record is from RNAcentral.